GUGCUUGCUUCGGCAGCACAUAUACUAAAAUUGGAACGAUCCAGAGAAGAUUAGCAUGGGCCCUGCGCAAGGAGAAACAGAACGUAUAAACAGAUCCGUGGACUAA
Small nuclear RNA from Mesocricetus auratus (golden hamster), 106 nucleotides. The record is from Ensembl. NCBI's taxonomy places the organism in Eukaryota, Metazoa, Chordata, Mammalia, Rodentia, Cricetidae.